AGCUUAGUAGGUUAUGUUAGACUGUUUGCUUUCAAAGCAAUAGGGGAUAUUUUUAAGUCCUAGGCUG
RNAcentral lists this transfer RNA (67 nucleotides) under Schistosoma spindalis. Its description in RNAcentral is "Schistosoma spindale tRNA-Trp". Lineage: Eukaryota; Metazoa; Platyhelminthes; Trematoda; Strigeidida; Schistosomatidae. The record is from RNAcentral.